RNAcentral lists this ribosomal RNA (817 nucleotides) under uncultured bacterium. RNAcentral's name for it is "bacterial SSU rRNA". It matches the Rfam family "Bacterial small subunit ribosomal RNA", at positions 47 to 859 of the family's 1533-position model. The record is from RNAcentral.
CAGCUACCAUGCAGUCGAGCGGUAGCACAGAGAGCUUGCUCUCGGGUGACGAGCGGCGGACGGGUGAGUAAUGUCUGGGAAACUGCCUGAUGGAGGGGGAUAACUACUGGAAACGGUAGCUAAUACCGCAUAAUGUCGCAAGACCAAGGUGGGGGACCUUCGGGCCUCAUGCCAUCAGAUGUGCCCAGAUGGGAUUAGCUAGUAGGUGGGGUAACGGCUCACCUAGGCGACGAUCCCUAGCUGGUCUGAGAGGAUGACCAGCCACACUGGAACUGAGACACGGUCCAGACUCCUACGGGAGGCAGCAGUGGGGAAUAUUGCACAAUGGGCGCAAGCCUGAUGCAGCCAUGCCGCGUGUAUGAAGAAGGCCUUCGGGUUGUAAAGUACUUUCAGCGGGGAGGAAGGCGAUAAGGUUAAUAACCUUGUCGAUUGACGUUACCCGCAGAAGAAGCACCGGCUAACUCCGUGCCAGCAGCCGCGGUAAUACGGAGGGUGCAAGCGUUAAUCGGAAUUACUGGGCGUAAAGCGCACGCAGGCGGUCUGUCAAGUCGGAUGUGAAUCCCCGGGCUCAACCUGGGAACUGCAUUCGAAACUGGCAGGCUAGAGUCUUGUAGAGGGGGGUAGAAUUCCAGGUGUAGCGGUGAAAUGCGUAGAGAUCUGGAGGAAUACCGGUGGCGAAGGCGGCCCCCUGGACAAAGACUGACGCUCAGUGCGAAAGCGUGGGGAGCAAACAGAUUAGAUACCCUGUAGUCCACGCCGUAAACGAUGUCGAUUUGGAGGUUGUGCCUUGAAGGCGUGCCUUCCCGGAGCUAACGCG